CCUUGCCAGCCCGCUCAGAAACUCAAAGGAAUUGACGGGGCCGCACAAGCGGUGGAGUAUGUGGUUUAACUCGAUGCAACGCGAAGAACCUUACCUGGUCUUGACAUCCCGGAGACCCUUAGGAAACUAGGGGGUGCUUCCAUCUGGAAGAAUCUGGAGACAGGUGCUGCAUGGCUGUCGUCAGCUCGUGUCGUGAGAUGUUGGGUUAAGUCCCGCAACGAGCGCAACCCUUGCCUUUAGUUGCCAGCAGUUCGGCUGGGCACUCUAAAGGGACUGCCGGUGUUAAACCGGAGGAAGGUGGGGAUGACGUCAAGUCCUCAUGGCCUUUAUGACCAGGGCUACACACGUACUACAAUGGCCGAUACAAAGGGCAGCGACACUGCGAGGUGAAGCCAAUCCCGUAAAAUCGGUCUCAGUCCGGAUUGGAGUCUGCAACUCGACUCCAUGAAGUUGGAAUCGCUAGUAAUCGUGGAUCAGCAUGCCACGGUGAAUACGUUCCCGGGCCUU
RNAcentral lists this ribosomal RNA (507 nucleotides) under uncultured Desulfobulbus sp. RNAcentral describes it as "bacterial SSU rRNA". It matches the Rfam family "Bacterial small subunit ribosomal RNA", at positions 903 to 1382 of the family's 1533-position model. Lineage: Bacteria; Pseudomonadati; Thermodesulfobacteriota; Desulfobulbia; Desulfobulbales; Desulfobulbaceae. The record is from RNAcentral.